RNAcentral lists this unclassified non-coding RNA (485 nucleotides) under uncultured fungus. RNAcentral's name for it is "partial contains small subunit ribosomal RNA, internal transcribed spacer 1, and 5.8S ribosomal RNA". The stretch from base 1 to 73 matches the Rfam family "Eukaryotic small subunit ribosomal RNA", at positions 1759 to 1831 of the family's 1831-position model. The record is from RNAcentral. Lineage: Eukaryota; Fungi.
CCAAACUUGGUCAUUUAGAGGAAGUAAAAGUCGUAACAAGGUUUCCGUAGGUGAACCUGCGGAAGGAUCAUUAAAGAACAAAUCACAAAAGGGGGUCUGUAAGACAUUGGCUCAGAGGGAAGGAGAGAGAGGGGCAGGAUGGAUAAUUUUUGCAGCGAUGGGGCCUAUUUUCCCUCUUCCUAUUACAAGGGGAAGGGGGGGGAGGGGCCCACUGGAUGAGACUCCACGGUGCUACUGUUGCCAUUAGUUGAAAUCUCUCAGAGUGGAUCCCCCCUCUGGUUAAUUGAACAGCCUCCUUUUGGUUCAUUUCACACACCCAUCAUGUGAACUUUUGCGUGAGUCGGUAUAGGUCAAGUGGCCUAGAAAGCUUGCGACUUCCACAUACCCCUAUAAACAAGUCCUAGAAUGUACACUUGCGUUUAAUCGCACCCAAUACAACUUUCAGCAACGGAUCUCUUGGCUCUCGCAUCGAUGAAGAACGCAGC